UCAGAUUGAAGAUGAAGGUUUGUAUUUAUUUAGAUGUGUAUUAUGUUACAGAUGUAUAAUGUUAUGUUGUUAGUUCUUAAAUAUAUGUUUAUUUUUAGUUGCUGAAUUACUAAGAAAUGAUGACAAUAUUGAAGCAAACGUUGUUGUUAAUAUUGGAACAAGUAAGUUGUAAAGCAAUUUUAAAUUUUUAAAAAGAAAUAAAAAUACUUUUUAAUAUGUAUCUGUUUUCUUCGAGGUAGAUUUAAAAUUUCAGGUUUUUAAAAUCAUAGAUAUUAUAAUAUUAAA
Molecule: non-coding RNA, 285 nt
Organism: Hydra vulgaris (swiftwater hydra)
Lineage: Eukaryota; Metazoa; Cnidaria; Hydrozoa; Anthoathecata; Hydridae
Source: RefSeq, a predicted model, not a curated record